RNAcentral lists this ribosomal RNA (376 nucleotides) under uncultured bacterium. RNAcentral's name for it is "partial 16S ribosomal RNA". It matches the Rfam family "Bacterial small subunit ribosomal RNA", at positions 338 to 731 of the family's 1533-position model. The record is from RNAcentral.
CCUACGGGUGGCAGCAGUAGGGAAUUUUGCGCAAUGGGCGAAAGCCUGACGCAGCAACACCGCGUGAAUGUUAAACCCUUCGGGGUGUAAAGUUCUGUCAAUAGGGACGAAUUUUGACUGUACCUAUAAAAGAAGCACCGGCUAACUCCGUGCCAGCAGCCGCGGUAAUACGGGGGGUGCAAGCGUUGUCCGGAAUCAUUGGGCGAAAGGCGUUCGUAGGCGGCAAGGUAGGCCUGAUGUUAAAGCCCGGGGCUAAACUCCGGUUCGGCAUUGGAUACUAGGGAGCUAGAAGGUGGUAGGGGUAAAGGGAAUGCAUGGGGUAGCGGUGAAAUGCGUAGAUAACAGGAGGAACAUAGGUGGCGAAAGCGCUCUAUUG